Molecule: ribosomal RNA, 395 nt
Filed under: uncultured bacterium
Lineage: Bacteria
Description: partial 16S ribosomal RNA
Rfam family: Bacterial small subunit ribosomal RNA
Source: RNAcentral
AUACGUAGGGUGCAGGCGUUAAUCGGAAUUACCGGGCGUAAAGCGUGCGCAGGCGGUUUUGUAAGACAGUGGUGAAAUCCCCGGGCUCAACCUGGGAACUGCCAUUGUGACUGCAGGGCUGGAGUGCGGCAGAGGGGGAUGGAAUUCCGCGUGUAGCAGUGAAAUGCGGAGAUAUGCGGAGGAAAACCGGUGGCGAAGGCAAUCCCCUGGGCCUGUACUGACGCUCAUGCACGAAAGCGUGGGGAGCAAACAGGAUUAGAUACCCUGGUAGUCCACGCCCUAAACGAUGUCAACUGGUUGUUGGGUCUUCAUUGACUCAGUAACGAAGCUAACGCGUGAAGUUGACCGCCUGGGGAGUACGGCCGCAAGGUUGAAACUCAAAUGAAUUGACGGGG